Molecule: ribosomal RNA, 1148 nt
Filed under: Escherichia coli
Lineage: Bacteria; Pseudomonadati; Pseudomonadota; Gammaproteobacteria; Enterobacterales; Enterobacteriaceae
Also listed under: 1 other name
Description: partial 23S ribosomal RNA
Rfam family: Bacterial large subunit ribosomal RNA
Source: RNAcentral
GUUAAGCGACUAAGCGUACACGGUGGAUGCCCUGGCAGUCAGAGGCGAUGAAGGACGUGCUAAUCUGCGAUAAGCGUCGGUAAGGUGAUAUGAACCGUUAUAACCGGCGAUUUCCGAAUGGGGAAACCCAGUGUGUUUCGACACACUAUCAUUAACUGAAUCCAUAGGUUAAUGAGGCGAACCGGGGGAACUGAAACAUCUAAGUACCCCGAGGAAAAGAAAUCAACCGAGAUUCCCCCAGUAGCGGCGAGCGAACGGGGAGGAGCCCAGAGCCUGAAUCAGUGUGUGUGUUAGUGGAAGCGUCUGGAAAGGCGCGCGAUACAGGGUGACAGCCCCGUACACAAAAAUGCACAUACUGUGAGCUCGAUGAGUAGGGCGGGACACGUGGUAUCCUGUCUGAAUAUGGGGGGACCAUCCUCCAAGGCUAAAUACUCCUGACUGACCGAUAGUGAACCAGUACCGUGAGGGAAAGGCGAAAAGAACCCCGGCGAGGGGAGUGAAAAAGAACCUGAAACCGUGUACGUACAAGCAGUGGGAGCCUCUUUUAUGGGGUGACUGCGUACCUUUUGUAUAAUGGGUCAGCGACUUAUAUUCUGUAGCAAGGUUAACCGAAUAGGGGAGCCGAAGGGAAACCGAGUCUUAACUGGGCGUUAAGUUGCAGGGUAUAGACCCGAAACCCGGUGAUCUAGCCAUGGGCAGGUUGAAGGUUGGGUAACACUAACUGGAGGACCGAACCGACUAAUGUUGAAAAAUUAGCGGAUGACUUGUGGCUGGGGGUGAAAGGCCAAUCAAACCGGGAGAUAGCUGGUUCUCCCCGAAAGCUAUUUAGGUAGCGCCUCGUGAAUUCAUCUCCGGGGGUAGAGCACUGUUUCGGCAAGGGGGUCAUCCCGACUUACCAACCCGAUGCAAACUGCGAAUACCGGAGAAUGUUAUCACGGGAGACACACGGCGGGUGCUAACGUCCGUCGUGAAGAGGGAAACAACCCAGACCGCCAGCUAAGGUCCCAAAGUCAUGGUUAAGUGGGAAACGAUGUGGGAAGGCCCAGACAGCCAGGAUGUUGGCUUAGAAGCAGCCAUCAUUUAAAGAAAGCGUAAUAGCUCACUGGUCGAGUCGGCCUGCGCGGAAGAUGUAACGGGGCUAAACCAUG